This 204-nucleotide long non-coding RNA is filed under the name Elaeis guineensis (African oil palm). RNAcentral's name for it is "long non-coding RNA (EGUI_LNC067957)". The record is from RNAcentral. Lineage: Eukaryota; Viridiplantae; Streptophyta; Magnoliopsida; Arecales; Arecaceae.
UACAUGGCCGUGUCAAGGAGGUCAUCAAGUUCCAAUAUUCUAUUCUUGAUUACGUAUCACAAACUAGUGGAUAAGCUUAUAUUGUAAUCGCAUGCAUGUUAUUAGGAUUUGUAGCCAAGCUAUCCUGCUAAAAGCAAUAUGCUCAUCCCAAGCGUUAAAGUUGAAUCAUUCAGGUGGUGCAAGAGCAUAUGAUUAUGAUCAGAG